GUUGGAAUCGCUAGUAAUCGCGGAUCAGCAUGCCGCGGUGAAUACGUUCCCGGGCCUUGUACACACCGCCCGUCACACCAUGAGAGUCGGGAACACCCGAAGUCCGUAGCCUAACUGCAAGGGGGCGCGGCCGAAGGUGGGUUCGAUAAUUGGGGUGAAGUCGUAACAAGGUAAC
Molecule: ribosomal RNA, 175 nt
Filed under: uncultured bacterium
Lineage: Bacteria
Description: partial 16S ribosomal RNA
Rfam family: Bacterial small subunit ribosomal RNA
Source: RNAcentral